CAGCCGCCACGGGAAUACGUAGGUGGCAAGCGUUAUCCGGAAUUAUUGGGCGUAAAGCGCGCGUAGGCGGUUUCUUAAGUCUGAUGUGAAAGCCCACGGCUUAACCGUGGAGGGUCAUUGGAAACUGGGAAACUUGAGUGCAGAAGAGGAAAGUGGAAUUCCAUGUGUAGCGGUGAAAUGCGCAGAGAUAUGGAGGAACACCAGUGGCGAAGGCGACUUUCUGGUCUGUAACUGACGCUGAUGUGCGAAAGCGUGGGGAUCAAACAGGAUUAGAUACCCCUGUAGUCCCUGUCUCUUAUAC
This 301-nucleotide ribosomal RNA is filed under the name uncultured bacterium. Its description in RNAcentral is "partial 16S ribosomal RNA". It matches the Rfam family "Bacterial small subunit ribosomal RNA", at positions 509 to 807 of the family's 1533-position model. The record is from RNAcentral.